This is a non-coding RNA of Rattus norvegicus (Norway rat), 1966 nucleotides long. NCBI's taxonomy places the organism in Eukaryota, Metazoa, Chordata, Mammalia, Rodentia, Muridae. The record is from RefSeq and is a predicted model, not a curated record.
CCCUUAUCAGCUGUAUCAGUCCACAGCAUGACUAAGCGUCUUUUCCUGGGACCAGCCUGAGCUUGUUGAGGCCUUUGCCCCCCCAAAAUAGCCUAGCUGAGACCCUCACCGUGCUUCCUGUGCCCUUUGUAACACAGAGAUGUUCAAGAGGUUGGACCAGGCCCCCUCUACCUGAUGGCAGUCCCUCAAAUGCACCCAACACAGGAAGGACAGACUGCCUCAGGACCUUUGCUUCUACUGCCCUUUCCCACAGUGCAGCACCUACCUCCUCCUCUCCCCUGUGAUUUUCCUGUCAUUACCCUCAGGGACCCACUGGUUCCUGAGGUAUUCUUCCCUAGCUAGAGACGUUUCUGGGGUGGAAUGGUCAGGAAGCAGGUAGAGCUGCUGUUCUAGCCCCGGUGGCUGGGAAAGUAGAGUUCACAGGUCAUCCAUCGAGUGCUGUAGAGUUGAGAUGGGAGAGGGUCACCUCUGUCCCCAGAGCUCUUCACAAUGGCUUAGAUAUGUCACACCAGGUCCUAGUCCUGCCUUGUGCCCAGUAGUGUAACCUCAAGUGGCAAUGAGGUCACUUCCUGGAUGGUAGGCAAUUGCGUUUUCAACCCCCCACUGGUUGAUGUCACAAUACCUUUAAUUGGAGCCUCACACCCAUCCAGUGAUCCUCAGAUUGUCACACGGGCGGAGGGCAUGCCACCCCUGGUCUAAAAUUGGGUUUUCACUGCUCUGAGUUGUGCAAUCUCUGGGGCCAAUAGCUGCAGAUUAGGCUAGCAAAGUCUGGGCAUCCGUUUUCUCACCUAGAAUAAUAAAGACUGCCCAUCCCCCAGGGCUCCUUCGGAGGCUUAAGUGAGGCCAAGGAGCACAGGUGGGGCAGGACAGAAACUGGGAGAACUGGAUGCUGUGUAUAGGGGUUUGGAGCCAUAGAUGUUCCUGGCACCCAGCAGACCUGGCUGAAUCCCCUACUCCUCUUCCACUGAGACCGGCAACCCAGAAUCCUCCCUGAGGGACAGAGACACGGGCCUGACCGGGGCAGACACUGGGGUGAUUUCCCUCCACUGUCCCCUCCUGGCCUGGCCAUCUGGGCCCACGGGCAGGAGUGCUGAGCAGAGACAGAGAUGGCUGCGUGGGCGCAGGGGCUCAGGCGCGCAGGCAGGGGGUUGCCAGGCAACAGCCACACGCAUCCGGCGCAUCUCCUGCACCGAGGGGCUGGAUGAGCACAGGUUCCAGCCAAAUGUAGGAGCUUUGCUUGCUGCUGGCUAAGCCCUGAUUUUGCUUGGGGCAGCAGGGACAGGAGGGCUUCAUGACAGCUCUUUGGUGCUCAGGGAGACCACCCUGGAGGGCAGUGACUAUAGUCUGCUCCUCUCAAGUUCAGUUCUCAGCAGAGGGACCACGUCCGCUGAGCAGAUGCUGUCGCUCGGAUGUUGGGAGCAGAGACAGGAUAAAACCUGACUCCAUGUCUCCCACCUCCAACCUUGGUGGGGCACAGAGGCUUCUGUUAGACCGGAAUGUCAUUAGAUGCUGAUGUCUCCCUGCCUGGACCAGAGUGAAGAGAAACCCAGAUAGGGCCCAGCCUACCCUGGGUUACCUGGAUCAGGCCUCAGCAGCCUCUAACUGAACCCGUAGCUCAAUGAUUGGCUAAGCUAGCUGUCCAGCAAGCCCCAGGAGUCUUCCUGCAUCCAUCUUCCCAGCUCUGGGAUUAGAGGGCCGAUGGCUGAUGGGAAGCAGGGCUUUCACAGUGGCCCCUGGAGUCAUCAGAGGAGGGGCUCACCACCGACAUCCCCUGCACAGCUCUUGCCUGCCUUCAUCCAAACUGCUCUUAGAAACUUGGACUCCAGGAUUCUUCUUCCCGGAAGUCCUUGGCUGGAUCCUCCUUCUUGCUUGAUGCCUACUGCAGCACUGGUUCAGCCAUGCCAAAGAGCUUUGGAUCCUUCUGUAAUUAAAAUGUCCCACUGGUCUGGGGAAAGAUGUGGCUGUA